This 520-nucleotide unclassified non-coding RNA is filed under the name uncultured Glomus. RNAcentral describes it as "SSU rRNA". It matches the Rfam family "Eukaryotic small subunit ribosomal RNA", at positions 569 to 1095 of the family's 1831-position model. Lineage: Eukaryota; Fungi; Glomeromycota; Glomeromycetes; Glomerales; Glomeraceae. The record is from RNAcentral.
AGCAGCCGCGGUAAUUCCAGCUCCAAUAGCGUAUAUUAAAGUUGUUGCAGUUAAAAGCUCGUAGUUGAAUUUCGGGAUCAGUAUGUUGGUCGUGCUUCGGUACGUACUGUCAUUACUGGUUUCUACCUUCUGAAGAACCUUGAUGUCAUUAAUUUGGUGUCUUGGGGAACCAGGACUGUUACUUUGAAAAAUUAGAGUGUUUAAAGCAAGCAUACGCUUGAAUACAUUAGCAUGGAAUAAUGAAAUAGGACGUUUGAUUCUAUUUUGUUGGUUUCUAGGAUCGACGUAAUGAUUAAUAGGGAUAGUUGGGGGCAUUAGUAUUCAAUUGUCAGAGGUGAAAUUCUUGGAUUUAUUGAAGACUAACUACUGCGAAAGCAUUUGCCAAGGAUGUUUUCAUUAAUCAAGAACGAAAGUUAGGGAUCGAAGACGAUCAGAUACCGUCGUAGUCUUAACCAUAAACUGUGCCGACUAGGGAUCGGAUGAUGUUAUUUUAAUGACUCAUUCGGCGUCCGUUACGGGU